This 264-nucleotide unclassified non-coding RNA is filed under the name uncultured Alphaproteobacteria bacterium. RNAcentral describes it as "contains 16S-23S intergenic spacer region". Lineage: Bacteria; Pseudomonadati; Pseudomonadota; Alphaproteobacteria. The record is from RNAcentral.
UCCGGUUUGGCACCUGUGUUCCCGCCAGCCGAACUGAAGAGCUACAUCUCUGUUGCUCAUACGGGACAUGUCAAAGGUUGGUAAGGUUCUGCGCGUUGCUUCGAAUUGAACCACAUGCUCCACCGCUUGUGUGGGCCCCCGUCAAUUCCUUUGAGUUUUAAUCUUGCGACCGUACUCCCCAGGCGGGAUGCUUAAUGCGUUAGCUGCGCCACUGACAGGCAAGCCUGCCAACGGCUAGCAUCCAUCGUUUACGGCGUGGACUAC